AUACAGAGGGUGCAAGCGUUAAUCGGAUUUACUGGGCGUAAAGCGCGCGUAGGCGGCUAAUUAAGUCAAAUGAGAAAUCCCCGAGCUUAACUUGGGAAUUGCAUUCGAUACUGGUUAGCUAGAGUGUGGGAGAGGAUGGUAGAAUUCCAGGUGUAGCGGUGAAAUGCGUAGAGAUCUGGAGGAAUACCGAUGGCGAAGGCAGCCAUCUGGCCUAACACUGACGCUGAGGUGCGAAAGCAUGGGGAGCAAACAGGAUUAGAAACCCCGGUAGUCC
This 274-nucleotide ribosomal RNA is filed under the name uncultured bacterium. RNAcentral's name for it is "partial 16S ribosomal RNA". It matches the Rfam family "Bacterial small subunit ribosomal RNA", at positions 523 to 796 of the family's 1533-position model. The record is from RNAcentral.